UGUAACUUAUUUAUUUUGUAAAAAUGCUUUUUUUGUACUAAUAAAGUCGCUAUACUGAAUAAAGGCAGUGUACAUACCUCGCGAGACUGAGGAAGUUCACCGAGGCUACCCUUCGGAAGUAAGAAUAAAACAAUCGGCUGUAGAGACGAUUGUGCUGGUCCCGAAGUUAACUGAACGACGCAGUCAGUCGAUCAAUUUAUCGAUCCUCCGACUCGAAUACCGGAAAGACAUAAAUAAGUAAGAAUUCUCUCUAUUUCUAUCGGGACUUGGCUACAAACGCAUAUCGAUAUCAGUGACCUACGGAAUCGAAUCGACUCCCUUCUGGCAAAAUAUCCCUUCUCCUGGCCUACUUCCAAAUUCUCAGAUUUAGAAAUUUGGAGAUAUGGAAAUUGGAAAAUUUUCGAAGUUGACUGCCCAUCAGUGCCCAAUGGGCAGGCUACACGUACCUCCUGCUCUACAUAGUCGAAAAACGAAUUAGAAGAAAUUUAUUAAGUGAAUGGUUAAGAACCGCCAUCAACAGCCUGUCAUCCUAAAUGAAUAAUUACGUUAACCGAUCGAGUAGUAUACUUUCUCGAGAAAUCGUCACGAUCACUGAGCUACUUAAUAAUAAAGGGGGACAGUUCGGUCGAUGC
Non-coding RNA from Osmia lignaria (orchard mason bee), 632 nucleotides. The record is from RefSeq and is a predicted model, not a curated record. NCBI's taxonomy places the organism in Eukaryota, Metazoa, Arthropoda, Insecta, Hymenoptera, Megachilidae.